This 253-nucleotide ribosomal RNA is filed under the name uncultured bacterium. Its description in RNAcentral is "partial 16S ribosomal RNA". It matches the Rfam family "Bacterial small subunit ribosomal RNA", at positions 524 to 776 of the family's 1533-position model. The record is from RNAcentral.
GACAGAGGGGGCAAGCGUUGCUCGGAAUCACUGGGCGUAAAGGGCGCGUAGGCGGGAUGGCAAGUCAGUCGUGAAAUCUCUCGGCUCAACCGAGAAACGUCGGCUGAUACUGCCGUUCUUGAGGGAUGCAGAGGAGACUGGAAUUCCCGGUGUAGCGGUGAAAUGUGUAGAGAUCGGGAGGAACACCGGUGGCGAAGGCGGGUCUCUGGGCAUUUCCUGACGCUGAGGCGCGAAAGCCAGGGGAGCGAACGGG